GGCCUCAUCGUCCAAUCGGUUAAGACACCGCCCUUUCACGGCGGCAACAGGAGUUCGAACCUCCUUGAGGUCACCA
Molecule: transfer RNA, 76 nt
Filed under: Firmicutes bacterium ADurb.Bin080
Lineage: Bacteria; Bacillati; Bacillota
Also listed under: 2 other names
Description: tRNA-Glu
Rfam family: tRNA
About the family: Transfer RNA (tRNA) molecules are approximately 80 nucleotides in length.
Source: RNAcentral